UACGAAGGGUGCAAACGUUGCUCGGAUUUAUUGGGCGUAAAGCGUGCGUAGGCGGCUGCGCAAGUCGGUUGUGAAACCCCGGGGCUCAACCCCGGAACUGCAUCCGAUACUGCGUGGCUAGAGGUAGGUAGGGGAGAUCGGAAUUCCUGGUGUAGCGGUGAAAUGCGCAGAUAUCAGGAGGAACACCGGUGGCGAAGGCGGAUCUCUGGGCCUUACCUGACGCUCAGGCACGAAAGCUAGGGGAGCGAACAGG
Molecule: ribosomal RNA, 253 nt
Filed under: uncultured bacterium
Lineage: Bacteria
Description: partial 16S ribosomal RNA
Rfam family: Bacterial small subunit ribosomal RNA
Source: RNAcentral